ACUCCUACGGGAGGCAGCAGUGGGGAAUAUUGCACAAUGGGCGCAAGCCUGAUGCAGCCAUGCCGCGUGUAUGAAGAAGGCCUUCGGGUUGUAAAGUACUUUCAGCGGGGAGGAAGGCAAUACGGUUAAUAACCGUGUUGAUUGACGUUACCCGCAGAAGAAGCACCGGCUAACUCCGUGCCAGCAGCCGCGGUAAUACGGAGGGUGCAAGCGUUAAUCGGAAUUACUGGGCGUAAAGCGCACGCAGGCGGUCUGUCAAGUCGGAUGUGAAAUCCCCGGGCUCAACCUGGGAACUGCAUUCGAAACUGGCAGGCUUGAGUCUUGUAGAGGGGGGUAGAAUUCCAGGUGUAGCGGUGAAAUGCGUAGAGAUCUGGAGGAAUACCGGUGGCGAAGGCGGCCCCCUGGACAAAGACUGACGCUCAGGUGCGAAAGCGUGGGGAGCAAACAGGAUUAGAUACCCCGGUAGUCCCA
RNAcentral lists this ribosomal RNA (471 nucleotides) under uncultured organism. RNAcentral describes it as "partial 16S ribosomal RNA". It matches the Rfam family "Bacterial small subunit ribosomal RNA", at positions 335 to 797 of the family's 1533-position model. The record is from RNAcentral.